CGAGUCGGCUGGACGGCCGCGUGGCGGCGCUCCGGCGUCGUCCCGAGGAACGUCCGGGCUCCGUAGGACGAGGUGGUGGGUAACGCCCACCCGGGGUGACCCGCGGGAAAGUGCCACAGAGAACAGACCGCCGCGUCGUGAAGGUCUCGACCGGAACGGCGCGGUAAGGGUGAAACGGUGGUGUAAGAGACCACCAGCGGGCCAGGUGACUGGCCCGGCUCGGUAAACCCCACCUGGAGCAAGGUCAGACAGGAUGCGUUCGAGGGUUGUCCGCCCGAGCAUCCGGGUAGACCGCUCGAGGCGCACGGCGACGUGCGUCCUAGAUGGAUGGCCGUCUCCUGCGCGUGGGUGACUGCGCGCGGUGACAGAACCCGGCGUACAGGCCGGCUCGUCCG
RNAcentral lists this RNase P RNA (395 nucleotides) under Sediminihabitans luteus. RNAcentral's name for it is "Bacterial RNase P class A". It matches the Rfam family "Bacterial RNase P class A". From Rfam's summary of the family: Ribonuclease P (RNase P) is a ubiquitous endoribonuclease, found in archaea, bacteria and eukarya as well as chloroplasts and mitochondria. Its best characterised activity is the generation of mature 5'-ends of tRNAs by cleaving the 5'-leader elements of precursor-tRNAs. Cellular RNase Ps are ribonucleoproteins. Lineage: Bacteria; Bacillati; Actinomycetota; Actinomycetes; Micrococcales; Cellulomonadaceae. The record is from Rfam by way of RNAcentral.